GUUUCAGUGACCCACUCUGUAAUAAAGAACCUGGAAAGGGAGGUUCCAAGAUGGCCAAAUAGGAAGAGCUCCAGUCUACAGCCCCCAGUGUGAGUGACACAGAAGAUGGGUGAUUUCUGCAUUUCCAACUGAGGAAAUUCUGCAAGUGGCAACGUGGGUCCAUUCCGUGUGUGUCACUAGAGCUGGCGCAAGGCCAUGGCCAUGGUGAGGCACUGUUUCCACUGGAACUAAUCUGAUACCUGCACCAGCUCUUGGAACUGCAAACUAUGGAUGGGGUAAAAGACUGCUCACCUCCCAUUUCUCAUCUCAUCUCACACACUCUGUUUGAUGAGGCUAUGGAGAAACAGGUCUUCUCAUACACUAAUGGUGGGAGUACAAACAAUUCAAGCCCUUUGCAGGACAAUUAGGCAAUACCUAUCAAAAUUAUACAUGAUUUUUCCUGCUGACCCAGCAAUUCCACUUCUGGGAAUAAAUUGACAGAUAUAGGUGCAUAUGUACAAAAUGAUGGAAAGCUCUCUGGUAUAUAUUAGUAAGUGAUAAAACAAGGUGUAAAAUAGUGUAUAUAUGGCUACUACCUUUUGUUUUAAAAAUGGGGGAAAAUGGCGGAGCUGGCGGUGAGCGGAGAUCGUGCCACUGCACUCCAACUUGGGCGACAGAGCGAGACUCUGUCUAAAAAAAAAAAAAAAAAAACAGGGUGGGGUGGGGGGGAAAUAAUAGUACAUAUUCAUAUUUACCUGUAUCUAUAUAUAUAAAACACACUAUCAAGUAUUCACAAGAAACUAAUACAAAUGAUCACCUUAUAGAUGGUAUGUAUUGGGGGAUACUGGGGUGAGCAGGGUAUAAGUGGGGCAAGACUUUUCAAUGUAAACUACUUUGAACUUUUAUUUUGAUUUUUGAAUAAUGUAAAUUAACUGUCAAAUAAUUAAAUUAAAAAUAACCAAUUUUUUAACAAAACA
RNAcentral lists this non-coding RNA (956 nucleotides) under Pongo abelii (Sumatran orangutan). Lineage: Eukaryota; Metazoa; Chordata; Mammalia; Primates; Hominidae. The record is from RNAcentral.